This 744-nucleotide ribosomal RNA is filed under the name uncultured bacterium. RNAcentral's name for it is "bacterial SSU rRNA". It matches the Rfam family "Bacterial small subunit ribosomal RNA", at positions 62 to 818 of the family's 1533-position model. The record is from RNAcentral.
UUGAGCGGAGAUAUAUGGAGCUUGCUUUAUAUAACUUAGCAGCGAACGGGUGAGUAACACGUAGAUAAUCUAUCCUAUACUGGGGGAUAGCCCGAUGAAAGUUGGAUUAAUACCGCAUAUAGCUAUAUAGUUGCAUGAUUAUGUAGUGAAAGAUUUAUUGGUAUAGGAGGAGUCUGCGGCACAUUAGCUAGUAGGUGAGGUAAAGGCUUACCUAGGCGACGAUGUGUAGCCGGUCUGAGAGGAUGAACGGCCACAAUGGAACUGAGACACGGUCCAUACUCCUACGGGAGGCAGCAGUGGGGAAUAUUGCACAAUGGGGGAAACCCUGAUGCAGCAACGCCGCGUGAGUGAAGAAGGUUUUCGGAUUGUAAAGCUCUGUUAGCAGGGAAGAGGAAGGACGGUACCUGCAGAGGAAGCCACGGCUAACUACGUGCCAGCAGCCGCGGUAAUACGUAGGUGGCAAGCGUUGUUCGGAAUAACUGGGCGUAAAGGAUGCGUAGGCGGUUAAACAAGUUAUAUGUUAAAUAUAUAGGCUUAACCUGUAGAAAGCAUAUAAAACUGUUUAACUAGAGUGCAGGAGAGGUAAGUGGAAUUCCUAGUGUAGCGGUGAAAUGCGUAGAGAUUAGGAAGAACACCAGUGGCGAAGGCGACUUACUGGACUGUAACUGACGCUGAGGCAUGAGAGCAUGGGGAGCAAACAGGAUUAGAUACCCUGGUAGUCCAUGCUGUAAACGAUGGGUACUA